CGAUCUAUUACGACCAGCGCGGUUGUUCGUAUUUCAAUUUAUUCUUCCAAGCCUUACAUGCACUAAGUUACUUACUGAACCUAAUAAUCGAUCUAUUUAUUGAUGAUAUGUAUGUGAACAGCUCGUGACGCUGCAUGCGCGCCCGUUCAUCUCGUUGGGCGUCCCGCUCCUUUAUAGCUUCGAAACUAUCCUCGAGACGCUGCAGUCCCGCCUCUGCGAUUUUUAGGAGUUCUUCGUUCUUUUGAAGACGGAGACGGUUUUCUUGUCGGAGGCGCUCUAAGCGUUCCUGUGCUGUGCCUCCGACAAUACAUGCGAGUUAGGCUCGGACGCGGAAUCGGAAUCGGAGGGACCAGCCUCGGUUGAAGCCGCAGCCGCUGCUGCUAAAAGCGAAUAAUUCUCAGGCGCUGGUGGUGGAUUGAACCCACCAUUCAUGCCUCCCAACCCACCAUUCCCCCCCUCGGGUAGAACUGCGCUACCGCCCUGCUUAGGUCAUCCAUUAAUAGCAGGAAGAAAGAACAAGUAAGAUAACCAAUAAUAAUAAUAAAAAGUAGUUGGACGACCACAUAAAUCCAAAUUUUUCAAAUGGUAGUCGUCGAAUUAUUGGUAAUCUAAAGACGAAACCAUGGGAUAAAGACAAAUAAAGAUUAAACUUGAUAAGAAUAGUUAUAUAUCGGAAUGAAAAAGAGAGGUUAAUUUCUGUCCAUGAAUCAGUCUUUUUCGCCACAUCGCGUAUAACGGGAAUCGAACCCCUUGUAGUUCCUAUUUAAUUUUUAUUCCCUUACUAAUGAAACUCUCUUUCUUCGAUCAGAAUGCG
Lupinus albus (white lupine) is the source of this 814-nucleotide non-coding RNA. Lineage: Eukaryota; Viridiplantae; Streptophyta; Magnoliopsida; Fabales; Fabaceae. The record is from the annotation of a GenBank genome assembly.